Molecule: small nuclear RNA, 164 nt
Filed under: Cervus elaphus hippelaphus
Lineage: Eukaryota; Metazoa; Chordata; Mammalia; Artiodactyla; Cervidae
Description: U1 spliceosomal RNA
Rfam family: U1 spliceosomal RNA
About the family: U1 is a small nuclear RNA (snRNA) component of the spliceosome (involved in pre-mRNA splicing).
Source: Rfam by way of RNAcentral
AUACUUACCUGGCAGGGGAGAUACCAUGAUCACGAAGGUGGUUUUCCCAGGGCGAGGCUUAUCCAUUGCACUCCGGAUGUGCUGACCCCUGCGAUUUCCCCAAAUGUGGGAAACUCGACUGCAUAAUUUGUGGUAGUGGGGGACUGCAUUCGCGCUUUCCUCUG